Long non-coding RNA from Alexandromys fortis (reed vole), 1363 nucleotides. RefSeq lists it as uncharacterized. NCBI's taxonomy places the organism in Eukaryota, Metazoa, Chordata, Mammalia, Rodentia, Cricetidae. The transcript is spliced from 3 exons. The record is from RefSeq and is a predicted model, not a curated record.
UCCGCCCACAGGCGAACCUCACGCUGGAAAAGGCUCUCAAGUGCCACCCGGUGGCCCCACAAAGACAAAAGGUUUGGGGAAAAGUUGUUCAGAAACAAACAGCAAAAAUCCUAUAGGAUCCUGGAAGAUCUGCCACAAUGGCUUCAACUUGGCAGCCUGACUUCCUGGGCUGGAGUCCCCCAGGACAGAUGUGCCUGGAUUGUUCAAAAGGUUCAUUAGUUGCCAGGCAUGGGAGCAUACACCUUUAAUACCAGCAAUUAGUAGAGAGAGGUAGAAGAUGACCCAAAGCAGGCCAAGCAUCACCAAGACCAAUGGGAAUAAGAAAGGACAUCAUGCCAAGACAUACUGCAUUCCUCAAAAGCCCUCAGCGGUCCACAACAGACCGAUCCUGGAAAGGCAGAAGUUUCUGAUCCCUUAAAAGAUUAUUCUCUGGAAAACUCUCCAGAAACCAGGACUCCGUGAGCAAGCACUGUAGGAAAAGGCACGAAUUAAAAGUGAAUCAACAUGUUUGCUGUGGUAAUCAUCACAUUGACAAGGUACUGGCCAUCCAUCAUCCAGGCCAACCGAAAUCCAACCAAAUAAAAUCUUCAAGUAACCCAUUUCCACAGCAAAAUUGUGCCCUGUGUGCAAAGUUCCGGUGGCUUCUAGAAACUCGAUGACAAUGAGAGCCUUCUUGGUCUGUUUACCACAUAUUCUUUGCAGCAAAUGAAGAGGCUUGACAAGUGUGCUUGGCCUCUUCCUGGGUAAAGGUCACAGGCAGGAGAAAGCAGCUUGUUGUGUGGCUUAGCAGAACAGUCACCAUUUGUUCCUUCUCAAUGAAACGCCACAGUCUGGGAGCAGAAACGAGCACCCUCCAGAGCCUGCCUUGGCAGCCCCACCUCAAGAGCCCGCCCACAUGAGCCAGAUAAAUUACUGUGAAGAGAACUGUGGGCAUGGGGGGGAGGGUUGGACAUUGACCCUGAAAGUGGCCAAGGUGAGGGCAAAGGGUGAUUUCCCAGGAAGUAUGAAAAAUGGCACCUAAGAGGCUCCUCCACUAACAACUGGCCUCUUAUCCCCACCCUUUCUCUCCAGCUAAGUAAGACCAAAUCUACCCUGAAUGGGGCAGGGUGGGGCAUCUGCGUGUGCAUGGGUGGGGGGCAAGUGGCAGGCCCAGAGGAUGAAUUGUACCUGUUAUGAUUAUACCCCAAGGAUCUCUCUGGGCCCACAGGCUUUCACUCUUGUUUCUUCACAUGUGAUCAACAGGUCAAACUGAAGCUUGUUUAUUUCCAUAAGGAAACCAAAGAACUAUUUUCCAUAAUAGAAAGACAUCUAUACCUGGAUACGUGCAGUUGCAACUCAAUAACAAGAAAGACAGCUCAAUUAA